GGGCCCGCACAAGCGGUGGAGCAUGUGGUUUAAUUCGAUGAUACGCGAGGAACCUUACCAGGGUUUAAAUGCAGAACGACAGGGGUGGAAACACCCCCUUCUUCGGACGGACUGCAAGGUGCUGCAUGGUUGUCGUCAGCUCGUGCUGUGAAGUGUCGGGUUAAGUCCCAUAACGAGCGCAACCCCCAUUUCUAGUUGCCAGCGGUUCGGCCGGGGACUCUAACGGAACUGCCGGUGCAAACCGUGAGGAAGGUGGGGACGACGUCAAAUCAUCACGGCCCUUACGUCCUGGGCCACACACGUGCUACAAUGGUAGGUACAGAGGGAAGCCACCCCGCGAGGGGAG
This 346-nucleotide ribosomal RNA is filed under the name uncultured bacterium. RNAcentral describes it as "bacterial SSU rRNA". It matches the Rfam family "Bacterial small subunit ribosomal RNA", at positions 917 to 1266 of the family's 1533-position model. The record is from RNAcentral.